GCUAGUGUAGCUUAAUUCAAAGCAUGGCACUGAAGAUGCUAAGAUGAAAAUUAGAAAUUUUCCAAAGGCA
Molecule: transfer RNA, 70 nt
Filed under: Squatina oculata (smoothback angelshark)
Lineage: Eukaryota; Metazoa; Chordata; Chondrichthyes; Squatinidae
Description: tRNA-Phe
Rfam family: tRNA
About the family: Transfer RNA (tRNA) molecules are approximately 80 nucleotides in length. Their secondary structure includes four short double-helical elements and three loops (D, anti-codon, and T loops).
Source: RNAcentral